AGUAUAUGUACAUCCUAUGCAUUCUGUACCUGUUUUGUAUAUACGCAGUGUAGUGAUGAGUAAUGAGUAUAUAUAAUAUACAAUAAUAUAAACAACAGUAAAUUUUAGUGAAAGAAAAAAUAUUCAGUUUAGAAAUAAAAACCACUAAAUAACAGAAAUGUCAAGUUUGAUCUUGAUUGAAGUAAUAAUACAAUAUAUGUAUUAGAGGAAGAUAUGAAACUCAAUUUUUUGUUGUGAUGGAUAUUAGACAAUUUCAACAUUCUGAAAAUACAAGAUUCAAAGAAUUUAACACAAUGGUCAAUUUCAGAUUUUUUAAUGUUAUAAAAAAUUGAUUUGAUUACUCUGUCAACAUUUUUUACGUUAUAUACAUGAUUAUUAGGUUAGAGCCUGAUCUUGUUUGCUUAAAAGGAAUAGUAAGAGCUUUGUUACGUACACAACAUGAAAGAUAUUAUGUUUGGAUUAUGUGUGCUUUAAAAUUGCAAAGCACAAUAUAUUUAUGCAAGUUUGACACAGAAAUAAAAAGGAAGUGAAUCGACCAAAAGUGAUUUUCUUGAACAUUGAGAGAAUUAGGAUUACAAAUUUGAGCAAUAUAUGGUAGCACAUGAAAUAAAUUAUAAACAGAUAAACAAAUUAUUAUUCCACUGCACAUUUUAUCUUUAAUAAUAUUAAAAAUUAUUUAAUAUAAACUUUAUUUAUUAUUUAGUUACACCAUUCACAGAUCCUGACAUUUCAAAAUGUGUGAACCACAAUGAAGAAUUUUGUUGUAUAUUUAAGUCAAAAUUUAGUUACAAUAUUUUGCUUUAUCUAGCUGAAGUAGAUGGAAUCUGUUCUCAAGUAGAUAGUAGGAAAGGAACUUGUGUUAAUAUAAUUAAAAACCAUUUAUCAUAAGGCACUUUCUAAUGGGCUACCAAAUAGCAGCUUUAAAAUGUUGAGUUGGUGAGCUCUGUGUUAUCCUGUAGGUAUUGAAAAUAUCAUAUAUCCUUGUGGUAAAGAUAGGUGGUAAAAAUAAGGAAGGUAAUGUUAUUCGUUACUUUUUAUAGGGUCAACAAAAAGGGGUAGAAACCUUUGUGUUGGAUUUUUGAAAAAAUAAAAGAAAUUAUUUGCGAAGAGCAAGUAAGUGUUUAUAUAAAUUUACAUAUGAUUCAAAACGAAAUACAAUUGCUGUUUUUGAACAGAAUACUAAUAAAUCAGAAUAUACAUUUUUA
Long non-coding RNA from Bombus pascuorum, 1205 nucleotides. RefSeq lists it as uncharacterized. The record is from RefSeq and is a predicted model, not a curated record. The transcript is spliced from 2 exons. NCBI's taxonomy places the organism in Eukaryota, Metazoa, Arthropoda, Insecta, Hymenoptera, Apidae.